UACGUAGGGUCCGAGCGUUGUCCGGAAUUAUUGGGCGUAAAGGGCUCGUAGGCGGUCUGUUGCGUCGGGAGUGAAAACUUACAGCUUAACUGUGAGCGUGCUUCCGAUACGGGCAGACUUGAGGUAUUCAGGGGAGAACGGAAUUCCUGGUGUAGCGGUGAAAUGCACAGAUAUCAGGAGGAACACCGGUGGCGAAGGCGGUUCUCUGGGCCUUACCUGACGCUGAGGAGCGAAAGCGUGGGGAGCAAACAGG
This 253-nucleotide ribosomal RNA is filed under the name uncultured bacterium. Its description in RNAcentral is "partial 16S ribosomal RNA". It matches the Rfam family "Bacterial small subunit ribosomal RNA", at positions 524 to 776 of the family's 1533-position model. The record is from RNAcentral.